Non-coding RNA from Acanthosepion pharaonis, 106 nucleotides. Lineage: Eukaryota; Metazoa; Mollusca; Cephalopoda; Sepiida; Sepiidae. The record is from the annotation of a GenBank genome assembly.
UUACGGCCAUAUCACGUUUAAACACUGGUUCUCGUACGAUCAUCGAAGUUAAGCAACGUUGAUCCUGGUCAGUACCUAGAUGGGAGACCGUUUAGAAAUACCAGGC